UACGUUCGGAUUGUAGGCUGCAACUCGCCUACAUGAAGCUGGAAUUGCUAGUAAUCAUAGGUCAGCAUACUAUGGUGAAUACGUUCCCGGGCCUUGUACACACCGCCCGUCACACCAUGAGAGUUGAGAAUACCCGAAGUCCAUGUUAAAGUGGCCGAAGGUAGGCUUGAUGAUUGGGGUGAAGUCGUAACAAGGUACC
RNAcentral lists this ribosomal RNA (199 nucleotides) under uncultured bacterium. RNAcentral's name for it is "partial 16S ribosomal RNA". It matches the Rfam family "Bacterial small subunit ribosomal RNA", at positions 1288 to 1500 of the family's 1533-position model. The record is from RNAcentral.